RNAcentral lists this ribosomal RNA (466 nucleotides) under uncultured bacterium. Its description in RNAcentral is "partial 16S ribosomal RNA". It matches the Rfam family "Bacterial small subunit ribosomal RNA", at positions 28 to 507 of the family's 1533-position model. The record is from RNAcentral.
GAUGAACGCUGGCGGCGUGCUUAACACAUGCAAGUCGAACGGAAAGGCCACAGCUUGCUGUGGUACUCGAGUGGCGAACGGGUGAGUAACACGUGGGUGAUCUGCCCUGUACUUCGGGAUAAGCUUGGGAAACUGGGUCUAAUACCGGAUAGGAAUCACAUGUGGGUGUGUGGUUGGAAAGCUUUUGCGGUAUGGGAUGAGCUCGCGGCCUAUCAGCUUGUUGGUGGGGUAAUGGCCUACCAAGGCGUCGACGGGUAGCCGGCCUGAGAGGGUGUACGGCCACACUGGGACUGAGAUACGGCCCAGACUCCUACGGGAGGCAGCAGUGGGGAAUAUUGCACAAUGGGCGCAAGCCUGAUGCAGCGACGCCGCGUGGGGGAUGACGGCCUUCGGGUUGUAAACUCCUUUCGUCAGGGACGAAGCGAAAGUGACGGUACCUGGAUAAGAAGCACCGGCUAACUACGUG